RNAcentral lists this long non-coding RNA (820 nucleotides) under Bos taurus (domestic cattle). RNAcentral's name for it is "long non-coding RNA NONBTAT018573". The record is from RNAcentral. Lineage: Eukaryota; Metazoa; Chordata; Mammalia; Artiodactyla; Bovidae.
CUAGUUUAGGCAGUAGUGGUGUUUAAUAUGUACUGCUUACGUUAUUGCUUGUGCAUUUGCUUAAGUAUUUGAAUCAAAGAAAUUGUAAUGGCCGAGUAUUGUUAUAAAACAUUUAAAUGAAUUGCCACUGAGAAGUUUACAAGUUUAUAUUAGAUUUACUGAAGUUUCCCAAAUAUGUUACUGUUGGUCCCAUAAGUUACAAUAGAGAGACUAAAGAAAUUUCUUUUAUCUUGGUAUAGAUAAGAGCAUUUCCCUUGAAUGAAUGUUGAUUAAAAAUAUAACAUUUGUUAACUAUGACAGCAAUUAAAAUUUCUCCCAUGUAUUUUUGAGACUCUCUCUCAACAUCCUAAGGUAUUAAUUUUGACUUAGUAAAAUCAUUUCUUCUUUCUCCUUCUAUAAAACUAGCUUUUAGUUAUUUCAUAGAGAACUUAGCACACUUGAGAGUUUGUCAUAUUAUGCCCAUAUUUUUAAAAUAUUCACUGACACUUUGAAUCUUAGGGAGGUCUUAAAGAAGAUUUCCCCCCCUGAAUAUAGAACAAAAUAUUUUUUAAUGGUAUAGAAGUAUGUUUUCUUGUCCUUUGUGAUAAAUAUAUGAACAAAUGGGUAGUUUGUAUGAAUAAGGGUCUGGAGUAUAUUAGAUACUUUCACAGUUGUUUUAAUUUUGUGUGUAAAUUAUAUACCACUUAGAGUGGCUGGCUCAGUAUAACAAUGGAUUAGAUUUGUUGAUUUUGCUCCUAAAGUGUUCUUUAUUCAUUUUGGGAGUGAGUUAUCCAAAAGGAUCAUGAAAUAUUGCUGUAAUAUUUUUUGAGUAUGUAGCUCC